UGGAAUCGGGUGGAGUCCUUGUAGUGA
RNAcentral lists this small RNA (27 nucleotides) under Bombyx mori (domestic silkworm). RNAcentral describes it as "ovarian small RNA-34490". Lineage: Eukaryota; Metazoa; Arthropoda; Insecta; Lepidoptera; Bombycidae. The record is from RNAcentral.